This 406-nucleotide ribosomal RNA is filed under the name uncultured bacterium. Its description in RNAcentral is "partial 16S ribosomal RNA". It matches the Rfam family "Bacterial small subunit ribosomal RNA", at positions 30 to 526 of the family's 1533-position model. The record is from RNAcentral.
AUUGAACGCUGGCGGCAGGCCUAACACAUGCAAGUCGAGCGAGCGGCGGACGGGUGAGUAAGGUCUGGGAAACUGCCUGAUGGAGGGGGGUAACUGAUGGAGACGGUAGCUAAUACUGCCUACCCUCAGAUGUGCCUAGAUGGCAUUGGCUAGUGGGUGGGGUAAUGGCUCACCUAGGAGACGGUCCCUAGCUGGUCUGAGAGGAUGAACCUCCACACUCGAACUGAUGCACGGUCCAGACUCUGACGGUAGGCAGCAGUGGGGAAUCUUUCACAAUGGGCUCAAUCCUGAUGCAGCCAUGGCUCGUGUAUGAAGAAGGCCUUCGGGUUGUAAAGUACUUUCAGCGGGGCCGCCUUACCCGCAGAAGAAGCACCGGCUAACUCCGUGCCAGCAGCCGCGGUAAUAC